AAAAUCGUGGGUCUCUUUCACCAGUGGGCACCAUCUGGUGGACAACAGAACCUCAGCUACAGGGGGCUACCCACACCCCGGAGGACACCAGCAAGAGGCUGAUCAUAAAAGGGCUCCACUGUUUGGGUUGAAUGCAGAUUGUGAGGGAAGUGCCAGGUUGAUGUGAAAGGAUCCUGCACAGGAAAGCAAGACAAACAUCACUGAAGGGGAGAGGCAACACAUGACGGAACAGGCUCUGAGUGUCAUAAAAUGGCCUCCUUGAUGAAAACCACACCAAGAGGACUGUAGCAUUCUCGCUGGAAUGUUGGGAGUGCAACGACUCAAAUCCGCCUCUAAUUGAAUCUGGCAGAAUCCAAUCCUGCAAUAUCUUUGAGUGGAGAUAACAGGACAAGACUCACUGGCGGACCCUGUGCAUCCUGGCAGCGGCCAAUUCACUCCCAGAGCAAA
This is a non-coding RNA of Poecilia reticulata (guppy), 447 nucleotides long. The record is from RefSeq and is a predicted model, not a curated record. NCBI's taxonomy places the organism in Eukaryota, Metazoa, Chordata, Actinopteri, Cyprinodontiformes, Poeciliidae.